Molecule: long non-coding RNA, 429 nt
Filed under: Equus caballus (horse)
Lineage: Eukaryota; Metazoa; Chordata; Mammalia; Perissodactyla; Equidae
Description: lncRNA (ENSECAG00000046559.1)
Source: RNAcentral
CCGUUAUCAAAAAGAUGACAGGGCUGAAUAAUAUUCCAUCGCUUGUGUGGACCCCACUUUCUCCAGUCACCCUCGAUAGACCCUGGGGUGCUCUCACCUUUGGCUGUUGUGAACACUGCUGCCACCAGAAGUGGAACUGCCGGACAUGUGGUGAUUCCACGUUUAAUUUUUUUAGGAAGAGAACAUUGUUUCUUUCGUAGUAGAUUUUCAAUUGUGUAAUAACUUAUCCCAGAGAUGAAACUUUCACUCAGGAGAAGUUUGUCUAAAGCGGUUGAAGAAGUGAGCCAAACUCUCCAUUUCCUUUUCAUUCUAAAAUACAUUUCCAAUAAAGUGGUAAAACGGAAAAAAAUACUACCAUGGGCCUUGGGAGAUGUGGUUCUAGCUUUGGCUUUCAUAGUUUCUAGUUGUAUGACUUUGAAUAAAUCAGUU